AUCCAUCUGACGAGUGCUAAAUAGAACGAAACCCACGUCCUGGAU
Molecule: non-coding RNA, 45 nt
Filed under: Schistosoma curassoni
Lineage: Eukaryota; Metazoa; Platyhelminthes; Trematoda; Strigeidida; Schistosomatidae
Source: RNAcentral